Gasterosteus aculeatus aculeatus (three-spined stickleback) is the source of this 1116-nucleotide long non-coding RNA. NCBI's taxonomy places the organism in Eukaryota, Metazoa, Chordata, Actinopteri, Perciformes, Gasterosteidae. The record is from Ensembl.
UGUGGUAAUGUAGAGUUGUGUGUAGUUGUGUGUUAAUGUAGAGUGAGAUUCGGUCCUGGCAGCAUCAUGAGGAAGUGUGUGUGUGUGUGUGAGAGUGUGUGUGAGUGUGUGUGUGUGUUUGCUUCUCAUCCUUUGUCAGGAAACGGUACGACUUCUCCUCGCGGCUCCUGAACGUAACCGCUGACACAAACAGGGACAACAGACCUCACGGAGACGAAGGCUUCCAGUCGGUUCUGUGGUGAGAUGAACGUCCCUCAUGGCGCUUAUUGUCCCAGAGAUCAGCGUUCUCACCGCCGCACCUCGUCCACGAGGAGUCCUGUCUGAGCCCGCCUCUCCCGGUUGCCAAGCAACGGCACGGAAACGAACUUUCACUGAUGUCAAAGUAGCGUGACCCCGAGGGUCCGCUUGUCACGCUGAGACAAACACAUGGUGGAGCUCCACCAGCAGCUCGGAACCCUCGAUGAACUUCAGGAAAACGCUUGUCUUCAUUCUGUGGACAGACGAUAUUCACCAGGGACGUCAGAGAAUAUCUUGUUCGUCGACUCCCAUUCUGAACUUUUUGGAGAGGAGCAGUCACUAAAGUUCUUUUUCUGCACAGCUAAUAAAAAUAAAAAACAUUUAGGGUUUGGGAAUAAACUUCUGGUCUAUGGCAGCGUUUUGCUCCAAACCGCAUCAACAAACCAUUAUGGACGUCUUGCAGCUUUCGCUCAGACCUCUGACUCGUCUCUCCUUCACAGCUACGACGGCUCUGGCACACGCGCAUCGCUGUAUUUACAGCCACUUACCAUCUCCAACUGACGUUAGAACAUGAUUUCUCUGAAACAAAAUUGAAAUGAUUAAAAGCACAACAUCAACCUAUGCUCCUGGAGCCGCCCCCCCCCCCCCCCCCCUCCAUUACAUCACUGCCCAAAGAAAACAAACCAAAACACCAAAUGACGGGUCUCUCUUACUCUCUGAGGGUCGUAAAACGGCCAAUUAUACAUGUGAUCAGGUAUGUGGAGCAAACGGCACGGUGGGAAUGUUGUGCGUCCACACACAUACACACAAACAGCAGUGUAACAGCUGAGCACUUUUCGGCCCACAGACCUGCACAGGUACCCACGACAGCUCCCCCCC